Molecule: ribosomal RNA, 409 nt
Filed under: uncultured bacterium
Lineage: Bacteria
Description: bacterial SSU rRNA
Rfam family: Bacterial small subunit ribosomal RNA
Source: RNAcentral
UGGGGAAUAUUGCACAAUGGGCGAAAGCCUGAUGCAGCAACGCCGCGUGCGGGAUGACGGCCUUCGGGUUGUAAACCGCUUUCAGCAGGGACGAAGCGAAAGUGACGGUACCUGCAGAAGAAGCACCGGCCAACUACGUGCCAGCAGCCGCGGUGAUACGUAGGGUGCAAGCGUUGUCCGGAAUUAUUGGGCGUAAAGGGCUCGUAGGCGGUCUGUCACGUCGGAAGUGAAAACUCAGGGCUCAACCCUGAGCUGGCUUCCGAUACGGGCAGACUAGAGGAAGGUAGGGGAGAUCGGAAUUCCUGGUGGAGCGGUGGAAUGCGCAGAUAUCAGGAGGAACACCGGUGGCGAAGGCGGAUCUCUGGACCUUUCCUGACGCUGAGGAGCGAAAGCAUGGGGAGCAAACAGG